Molecule: ribosomal RNA, 244 nt
Filed under: uncultured Staphylococcus sp.
Lineage: Bacteria; Bacillati; Bacillota; Bacilli; Caryophanales; Staphylococcaceae
Description: partial 16S ribosomal RNA
Rfam family: Bacterial small subunit ribosomal RNA
Source: RNAcentral
CGGCGGACGGGUGAGUAACACGUGGGUAACUUACCUAUAAGACUGGGACAACUUCGGGAAACCGGAGCUAAUACCGGAUAAGAUAUCGAACCGCAUGGUUCGAUAGUGAAAGAUGGUUUUGCUAUCACUUAUAGAUGGACCCGCGCCGUAUUAGCUAGUUGGUGAGGUAACGGCUCACCAAGGCAACGAUACGUAGCCGACCUGAGAGGGUGAUCGGCCACACUGGAACUGAGACACGGUCCAG